GCAGGCGAGGUGAUCGCAAUCGGCGUCCGCGCCGGUUGAGGAAAGUCCGGGCUCCCCAAUGGCCAGGCUUGCUGGGUAACGCCCAGUGCGGGUGACCGUGAGGAGAGUGCCACAGAAACACACCGCCGAUGGCCGGUUCGCCGGCACAGGCAAGGGUGCAAAGGUGCGGUAAGAGCGCACCAGCAGCAUCGAGAGGUGCUGGCUCGGUAAACCCCGGCUGGGAGCAAGGCCCAGGGACAACGGUUGGCCAUGACACCCGUCCCGACACAAGCGCGCCGCUCGAGGCCACCGGUAACGGUGGUCCCAGACAGAUGAUCACCCCCGCGCAAGCGGAGAACAGAACCCGGCUUACGUCCUGCUU
RNAcentral lists this RNase P RNA (361 nucleotides) under marine eukaryotic metagenome. Its description in RNAcentral is "Bacterial RNase P class A". It matches the Rfam family "Bacterial RNase P class A". Rfam says of the family: Ribonuclease P (RNase P) is a ubiquitous endoribonuclease, found in archaea, bacteria and eukarya as well as chloroplasts and mitochondria. Its best characterised activity is the generation of mature 5'-ends of tRNAs by cleaving the 5'-leader elements of precursor-tRNAs. The record is from RNAcentral.